CAUUAACACUCUCUCUCCUUCUCUUUUUCUCAGAGCAGAAUAGGAGUGGGUUUGUAGUGAGGGUUUGGUAGUCAAGAGAGAGAAAAAAAAAUGGCAGCGGGUAGUGUAAUUUCCAUUGCAACUCUACUAAUGUCUCUAAUAUGGAUGGCUGAAGCUAGAAUUCCUGGCGUUUAUACUGGUGGUGAUUGGCAAAAUGCUCAUGCUACUUUCUAUGGUGGUGCUGAUGCCUCUGGAACCAUGGGCGGGGCUUGUGGGUAUGGCAACCUGUACAGCCAAGGCUAUGGGGUGAACA
RNAcentral lists this unclassified non-coding RNA (292 nucleotides) under Hevea brasiliensis (rubber tree). Lineage: Eukaryota; Viridiplantae; Streptophyta; Magnoliopsida; Malpighiales; Euphorbiaceae. The record is from RNAcentral.